Long non-coding RNA from Daphnia carinata, 759 nucleotides. RefSeq lists it as uncharacterized. The transcript is spliced from 4 exons. The record is from RefSeq and is a predicted model, not a curated record. NCBI's taxonomy places the organism in Eukaryota, Metazoa, Arthropoda, Branchiopoda, Diplostraca, Daphniidae.
GGUUUGUCGGAUAUGUGUAGGUGGCUUCAACACUUGGGAUCUAGCAGCUAUUACACUGGUGGUGUUGGCCCCAUGAAUCUUAUUUAUUUAUUUUUUUUAAGCUGGGGAAGAAACAUGCACUUAGUUUCGUGGAAAAAAAAACUCUACAUACAGCAAAUAAGCGUCAAUUUCAAACUGUAGGAAAAGAGAUGAUAUAGAGGCAAAACUUGAUUUUGAGUGAAGACAAAUCUUCAAAAAGCCAUCGCCUGUAUUGCUAUCUGUGUGCGUCGUUAGCAUUGGGAUUGGUAGCGGAAAAUUUCAUGAAUUAUCGGAAUGAUUCUUUGUCAUGGCAAUUUUAAAUCACAUGGAAUCCAUUACAAGUUUAAGCGGUCCGUCAAACGGUAUAGCCACUUCUAUUCGAUAACUGUUGUUUUACUACUUCGUUCCACUUAAGAAUACGAACUUUAGCACCUUUGAAGCCAAAUAACUAAAAUACUAAAAGUUUCACGUAAAAGUGAAUGUGAUCUACGCAGUUCUCGUUAAACUUUGUAGCAAAAUCGUGUGUAGCUUUUUAUAUUCUGAUUUGAGUAGAAAAUGAAAUAAGGCUGAUAUUUUGUUUGAAAAAUUUGGCUAAGAGUUUUGACAUGGAAUUCAAUGAAAUUUCUGAGGACAGAACCGUAUAUGGCAGUACAAGAAAAACAGCGUAAAGUAUAUGCUUUAGUGUUAUAUGUGUGCAAGUACUGUUUUCUUCCUUUUUUAAAACUGUUUUAUAUGGAUCUC